This is a long non-coding RNA of Megalobrama amblycephala (Wuchang bream), 804 nucleotides long. RefSeq lists it as uncharacterized. The record is from RefSeq and is a predicted model, not a curated record. The transcript has 2 exons. Lineage: Eukaryota; Metazoa; Chordata; Actinopteri; Cypriniformes; Xenocyprididae.
UGAUAAAACUUAAACAAUUAUAGAAUUUUAGGAUUAUUAUGAAAAAUGUAUUAUUUUCAAUUUUUAUAUGAAAUAUGUAUUUUCAAAAACACGUUUUACUCUAGAACUGUAAGAAAAUCAAAGCCAUAAAUCUAAACAAGUUUGAGGUUGAUAUCUCAAAAAUUGAGCUUUAAGUAAUACUUUCUUUGGGCGCAAUACCUAACUUAUCCACUGGAUGAAAUUCAUCUCCCAUUCAUUUCCAAUGCAGCCAUUUUUGAUUGUGAACAGUACAAGUGUGACUAUUUUUUCAGGACCUUUACCUUUACCUUUCAGGUCAAAACCUUUACCAAGUUUCAUACCUUUCAGAUGAAUUAAAAAAAAUUCAAAAAGGCAAUCUAGGCAGUUAAUGCAUAGACGGCUGGAUGGACGGAUGGACGGAAAAUCCUGUCGAAAAUACAUUGAUACUCUUCCAGUCCUCUGUCCUACUUCACAUUUAAACCCCGAGGAGAGAGACGCUACUGCUUAUUGUCCCAAUAGAGACGCUGCUGCUUAUUGUCUCUGCGUCCCCUGCUGUGGCUCAAUGUGUGGCAUUCUCAACAAAUCAGAGCGUUGUCAUCCUUCACUUCCUGUGCAUGCAUGAACACACAAAUGCAUGGCAAACACAUUUCAUGUCAGGAGCCCUGCUGAGAAACACAUCUUAAACUAGCCAAAGCUGGUUUGUUGGUCUGUUUGUUGGCUGGUUUUAGGGGCGUGCUUAUUUAAUGUGUACUUGUAGUGUACUGCAAACCUUAAAAACUAUUAAUAAAAAAACUGUACUGUACUGCA